Molecule: long non-coding RNA, 474 nt
Organism: Micropterus dolomieu (smallmouth bass)
Lineage: Eukaryota; Metazoa; Chordata; Actinopteri; Centrarchiformes; Centrarchidae
Exons: 4
Source: RefSeq, a predicted model, not a curated record
GUUUUAAACUACCAUCAAACGUUCCUAAGAUAAUCUGAUGAUUUUUUUUUUAUUAUUUAUUGGACUUAUAUGUUUUUUCAGCAGACACCUCAUGUAAAAAAUUCUCUAUUUAAGGAGAAAAAAGUCCUUUUUUCUGAUCUUUUUUUCUUGUUUUCAACAGAUCAGCUCAUUAACAAAACAAAUUUGAAUGAAAGUGGAUGGAAUCACAGGUUUUAAACUACUAUCAAAUGUUCUUAAGGUCAUUAAGGAAACAGAUUUGAAUGAAACUGGGUGGAGUCACAGGUUUUAAUGUACCAUCAAACGUUCCUAAGAUCAGGUCAUUAAGGAAACAGAUUUGAAUGAAACUGGAUGGAGUCACAGAUCAGCUCAUUAACAAAACAAAUUUGAAUGAAAGUGGAUGGAAUCACAGGUUUUAAACUACUAUCAAAUGUUCUUAAGGUAAGCUGAAGAUUUUUAGUUUUUUAUCAGGCUUAG